GCCGGGCAUGGUGGUGCAUGCCUGUAGUCCCAGAUACUUGGGAGGCUGAGGCAGAAGAAUCACUUGAACCCAGGAGGUGGAGGUUGCAGUGAGCUAACAUCAUGCCACUGCACUCCAGCCUGGGUGACAGAGUGAGACUCCAUCUCAA
This 148-nucleotide non-coding RNA is filed under the name Homo sapiens (human). Lineage: Eukaryota; Metazoa; Chordata; Mammalia; Primates; Hominidae. The record is from Rfam by way of RNAcentral.